This 216-nucleotide long non-coding RNA is filed under the name Eucalyptus grandis. Its description in RNAcentral is "long non-coding RNA (EGRA_LNC000695)". The record is from RNAcentral. Lineage: Eukaryota; Viridiplantae; Streptophyta; Magnoliopsida; Myrtales; Myrtaceae.
ACUGCCACCAGUAGAUGAAUUAAGAGGUUGGAUAUGGCUGUAAGGAGGAGGAUAGCAAAGGAAUGAACUUUUGGACGCCGACACUAAUCGAUGGACUUUAAGUAUACGACUGUUGGAUGAGAUGUUGGUAAUCUUUUGAAGUAUAGUGAUGUCCAUCUGGUUUAAGUAAAUAAAAGUGUUCGGCUUUUAUCUAUAAAUGUUUAGUUGGUGUGCAUC